RNAcentral lists this small nuclear RNA (147 nucleotides) under Echinops telfairi (small Madagascar hedgehog). RNAcentral's name for it is "U2 spliceosomal RNA (ENSETEG00000024351.1)". It matches the Rfam family "U2 spliceosomal RNA", at positions 38 to 185 of the family's 192-position model. From Rfam's summary of the family: U2 is a small nuclear RNA (snRNA) component of the spliceosome (involved in pre-mRNA splicing). The record is from RNAcentral. Lineage: Eukaryota; Metazoa; Chordata; Mammalia; Afrosoricida; Tenrecidae.
AACUGUUCUUAUCAGUUUAAUAUGUGAUAUGUCCUCUGUUGGAGGGCAACAUAUUAAAUGUAUUUUUGCAAGUAGGAGUAGGACCAGGAGCUUGCUCCAGCCACUCCACGCAUCAACCUGGUAUUAUAGUACUUCCAGGAAUGGUGC